This 478-nucleotide ribosomal RNA is filed under the name Armillaria mellea. RNAcentral's name for it is "eukaryotic LSU rRNA". The stretch from base 16 to 169 matches the Rfam family "5.8S ribosomal RNA". Lineage: Eukaryota; Fungi; Basidiomycota; Agaricomycetes; Agaricales; Physalacriaceae. The record is from RNAcentral.
CUUUAAAUGUUAUACAACUUUCAACAACGGAUCUCUUGGCUCUCGCAUCGAUGAAGAACGCAGCGAAAUGCGAUAACUAAUGUGAAUUGCAGAAUUCAGUGAAUCAUCGAGUCUUUGAACGCACCUUGCGCCCUUUGGUAUUCCAAAGGGCAUGCCUGUUUGAGUGUCAUUAAAUUCUCAACCUUGUCUUGUUUUAUUACAAGUGCGAUGGAUUGGAUUAUGGGGGCUUGCUGGUCUCUAACGAGAUCAGCUCCUCUGAAAUGCAUUAGCAGAAACCGUUUGACUUUGGCUGCUAGGCUGUGAUAAUAUCUACGCCUUGGUAGUUGGGUUGGAAUACAAAGUGUUAGAGUGAUAAGGAACUAUUACUCAGGCUUUCGAGUCUGGCUUAGGAUCGGUUUGGAGGGUUGCUUAACGGCUCCUUCUGCUUUCUCCCUUUGUUGGAGAUACUUGUCUGAUUGUAAGAGAGGAAUUGCGUUUA